AAGCACGUCAAAGUGGCGCGUGUUAUGUCGGAAAUAUGAAAAGGAUCAUAUCACAGCCAGCUUUGAUGUGCUUGA
Caenorhabditis brenneri is the source of this 75-nucleotide non-coding RNA. Lineage: Eukaryota; Metazoa; Nematoda; Chromadorea; Rhabditida; Rhabditidae. The record is from Rfam.